RNAcentral lists this ribosomal RNA (264 nucleotides) under uncultured bacterium. Its description in RNAcentral is "partial 16S ribosomal RNA". It matches the Rfam family "Bacterial small subunit ribosomal RNA", at positions 793 to 1055 of the family's 1533-position model. The record is from RNAcentral.
GUCCACGCCCUAAACGAUGCAUAUUUGGUGUGGGCAGUUCAUUCUGUCCGUGCCGGAGCUAACGCGUUAAAUAUGCCGCCUGGGGAGUACAGUCGCAAGGCUGAAACUCAAAGGAAUUGACGGGGGCCCGCACAAGCGGUGGAGCAUGUGGUUCAAUUCGACGCAACGCGAAGAACCUUACCUGGGCUCGAACGGCCGGUUAACGGCGUUAGAAAUAGCGCUACCCCGCAAGGGGGUCCGGUCGAGGUGCUGCAUGGCUGUCGU